This 953-nucleotide long non-coding RNA is filed under the name Gossypium barbadense (sea-island cotton). RNAcentral describes it as "long non-coding RNA (GBAR_LNC023133)". The record is from RNAcentral. Lineage: Eukaryota; Viridiplantae; Streptophyta; Magnoliopsida; Malvales; Malvaceae.
UCAAAUUCCUGAGGAAAUCGGUAAUCUUCUUGGUUUGGAACUGCUUAAUAUUCGAGCAAUUAAAGGCCUUACAGGUCAGAUUCCAAGUUCCAUCUUCAACAUUUCUUCUCUGAAGACCAUUAGUCUCUCCAACAAUAGCCUAUCAGGUAGUUUGCCUAAUGAUAUUUGUCAACAUCUUCCCAAGCUUGAAGUGCUUUACUUGCAUAGCAAUGAGUUAUCUGGUAACAUUCCGUCAAGUAUGGGCAAAUGCAGCAACCUUAAAAGUUUGUCCUUUUCCUUGAAUCAACUGACGGGGAUCCUUCCAAGAAGUAUUGGGAAUCUGACACAACUCAGAGAAUUAUAUUUGGGAUUGAAUAAUCUAGAAGGUAAUCAAUUUCCUUGAUUUCUUGAAUUUUAAGUAUUUUUUUAAUAAAAGAGUUUGAUUUGUAAUAGAUAACAAAAGGAAAAAGUUUUUAUUUCAUUUGAUGAAAAACAUAUGCCGAAAUAUAUGAAAAUCUAACAUCUCCAAAUUACUGUAGAACAGAAAAGAAAACCUCUUUGACUUAUGCUAACAAAAUAGGUAGUUUGACACCUUGAUUUUUUGACCAUGUGUGCAGGUCAAAUUCCUGAGGAAAUCGAUAAUCUUCUUGGUUUAGAACUGCUUAGUAUUACUGAAAUUAAAGGCCUUACAGGUCAGAUUCCAACUUUGAUCUUCAACAUUUCUUCUCUGAAGACCAUUGAUCUCUCCAACAAUAGCCUAUCAGGUAGUUUGCCUAAUGAUAUGUGUCAACAUCUUCCCAAGCUUGAAGUGCUUUACUUGUAUAGCAAUGAGUUAUCUGGUAACAUUCCGUCAAGUAUGGGUAAAUGCAGCAACCUUAAAAAUUUGUCCUUGUCCUUGAAUCAAUUGACGGGGAUUAUUCCAAGAAGUAUUGGAAAUCUGACACAACUCAGAGAAUUAUAUUUGGGGUUUAAUA